AGUACCCUGGUGCACAUUCUAUUCCAGCUUUACAAGCGAUGAACAGUUUCCAUAUCAGGAGUAGAUGCAGUCAUAGUGUUUACACUUAACAUGGGAAAUGUUCUUUGAUGUUGGCCUGGAUGUCGGUAUCAGAUACGACGGCGAGGUUGGGGCAACCUGACACACAUGAGCAUCAAUAGACAUGUUUACCUGUACUAGUUGAGAGCCAAGGUUGAAGUCAUCCAUGUGUGAAAAAUGCUGUCUUUGUCGAACUGCAUUAUUAAAGUACAUCAAGCUGAGACAUCAUAUGCGUUCAUCACAGUUUGUGACGGAUUACGGAUACCAACGAACUAGCACUUGUUUGGCAGCGACUAGACACUGAACCGGUUAACCACAAUCAAGAGAGAGACAGACAAGGUUUAUCACACCGCAACUCGCCAUACGAUGUUGACGAGGAAACACUAAUGAUUACUGUUUCAAGAUCAGAUCUUGUGGCAAGACAUAUCGGUUUCGGGUUUGAGGUCCUCGGCGCAGAACUUGGACAUUCUCUCAUUAUAAUAGAGCAAAUCAAAGCUGCACACCCUCUCUCACUUUAUAUGCAGAUCUUAUACAUGCUUGCCAAGUGGAAGGAGAAGAACGGGAGAUCUGCCACCAGACUGGUCCUCGUCAGAGUGUUGUGGAGAUGCAAUGGCAGAUGUACCAUUGAGUGGGAGGAAAUUCUCAACAUCCUUCAGGCAUCAUCAUCUGUGCCAGUUAA
Molecule: long non-coding RNA, 736 nt
Organism: Haliotis rufescens (red abalone)
Lineage: Eukaryota; Metazoa; Mollusca; Gastropoda; Lepetellida; Haliotidae
Exons: 4
Source: RefSeq, a predicted model, not a curated record